UACGUAGGGCGCAAGCGUUAUUCGGAAUUAUUGGGCGUAAAGAGCUCGUAGGCGGUUUGUCGCGUCUGCUGUGAAAGUCCGGGGCUCAACUCCGGAUCUGCGGUGGGUACGGGCAGACUAGAGUGAUGUAGGGGAGACUGGAAUUCCUGGUGUAGCGGUGAAAUGCGCAGAUAUCAGGAGGAACACCGAUGGCGAAGGCAGGUCUCUGGGCAUUAACUGACGCUGAGGAGCGAAAGCAUGGGGAGCGAACAGG
RNAcentral lists this ribosomal RNA (253 nucleotides) under uncultured bacterium. Its description in RNAcentral is "partial 16S ribosomal RNA". It matches the Rfam family "Bacterial small subunit ribosomal RNA", at positions 524 to 776 of the family's 1533-position model. The record is from RNAcentral.